GGGCCGGUAGCUCAAUGGUUAGAGCCGCGCACUCAUAAUGCGUUGGUUGCGGGUUCAAGUCCUGCCCGGCCUACCA
RNAcentral lists this transfer RNA (76 nucleotides) under Planctomycetota bacterium. Its description in RNAcentral is "Planctomycetes bacterium tRNA-Met". It matches the Rfam family "tRNA". Rfam says of the family: Transfer RNA (tRNA) molecules are approximately 80 nucleotides in length. Their secondary structure includes four short double-helical elements and three loops (D, anti-codon, and T loops). The record is from RNAcentral. Lineage: Bacteria; Pseudomonadati; Planctomycetota.